Long non-coding RNA from Paramacrobiotus metropolitanus, 643 nucleotides. RefSeq lists it as uncharacterized. Lineage: Eukaryota; Metazoa; Tardigrada; Eutardigrada; Parachela; Macrobiotidae. The transcript is spliced from 3 exons. The record is from RefSeq and is a predicted model, not a curated record.
CGCUACUUUUCUAACAUUGCAAAUGCUGUCGGAAAAAUUUUAGCUUUUGAGGUUACCUAUAAAACUAUACCUCGAAACAAAAACGAACCACCGAUCUGCAAGCAACGUGCCGGUAUUAGUGUGGAAGAUAUCUUUGCGUAGCUGAAAUGGCGCCAAUUCGCUUGGGGAGUGGAACGCCGCGAAACACAUCACCGGAGCCGACCGAAUCGAUAUUGUUUUGCGGUGAGGAGCCGCUACCUGGCACAAGUCUUCACAAUUUAACACUGACCUUGCCUUUACCGGUUCCGCUGUUAAAUUACCACUACUUCAAUACUGCAAAGACGCGUCUGACAAAUUUUUAUCAUUUUCGGAACAUUAUGGAGCAGCAACUGGUUCCACUUCACGUUUACAUUGGCUACGCUUUACGAACGUUUGCAAUUUGCAUGGCAGGAAGUGCUGCAGAUAUCGAUACGGUUACCGGAAAUUCAUCGGUAGACGUUUACGAUAAAUAUACAUGUUUGGAAAUUUAUGGUCAUUUUCAUUUUCGGCAAAUUCACCAGGUUUUAAAAAAUUAUUUCAAAUUUUAUGUCCAGUGUCAACACUGUAACCGUUGCGCGACUAUUAUCGUACGUAAAAGACGCCGUUUAUGUGUGUGCUGUUUUGC